GCCGCUUUAGCUCAGUUGGUAGAGCAUCGCAUUCGUAAUGCGGGGGUCACAGGUUCGAGUCCUGUAGGCGGCACCA
Molecule: transfer RNA, 76 nt
Filed under: Sphingomonadales bacterium
Lineage: Bacteria; Pseudomonadati; Pseudomonadota; Alphaproteobacteria; Sphingomonadales
Also listed under: 1 other name
Description: tRNA-Thr
Rfam family: tRNA
About the family: Transfer RNA (tRNA) molecules are approximately 80 nucleotides in length. Their secondary structure includes four short double-helical elements and three loops (D, anti-codon, and T loops).
Source: RNAcentral